GUUCCAGGUAAAUCCGGUUCACUUUAACACUGAGGCGUGACGACGAGGCACUACGGUGCUGAAGCAACAAAUGCCCUGCUUCCAGGAAAAGCCUCUAAGCAUCAGGUAACAUCAAAUCGUACCCCAAACCGACACAGGUGGUCAGGUAGAGAAUACCAAGGCGCUUGAGAGAACUCGGGUGAAGGAACUAGGCAAAAUGGUGCCGUAACUUCGGGAGAAGGCACGCUGACACGUAGGUGAAGUGAUUUACUCAUGGAGCUGAAGUCAGUCGAAGAUACCAGCUGGCUGCAACUGUUUAUUAAAAACACAGCACUGUGCAAACACGAAAGUGGACGUAUACGGUGUGACGCCUGCCCGGUGCCGGAAGGUUAAUUGAUGGGGUCAGCGCAAGCGAAGCUCCUGAUCGAAGCCCCGGUAAACGGCGGCCGUAACUAUAACGGUCCUAAGGUAGCGAAAUUCCUUGUCGGGUAAGUUCCGACCUGCACGAAUGGCGUAAUGAUGGCCAGGCUGUCUCCACCCGAGACUCAGUGAAAUUGAACUCGCUGUGAAGAUGCAGUGUACCCGCGGCAAGACGGAAAGACCCCGUGAACCUUUACUAUAGCUUGACACUGAACAUUGAGCCUUGAUGUGUAGGAUAGGUGGGAGGCUUUGAAGUGUGGACGCCAGUCUGCAUGGAGCCGACCUUGAAAUACCACCCUUUAAUGUUUGAUGUUCUAACGUGGACCCGUUACCCGGGUUGCGGACAGUGUCUGGUGGGUAGUUUGACUGGGGCGGUCUCCUCCUAAAGAGUAACGGAGGAGCACGAAGGUUGGCUAAUCCUGGUCGGACAUCAGGAGGUUAGUGCAAUGGCAUAAGCCAGCUUGACUGCGAGCGUGACGGCGCGAGCAGGUGCGAAAGCAGGUCAUAGUGAUCCGGUGGUUCUGAAUGGAAGGGCCAUCGCUCAACGGAUAAAAGGUACUCCGGGGAUAACAGGCUGAUACCGCCCAAGAGUUCAUAUCGACGGCGGUGUUUGGCACCUCGAUGUCGGCUCAUCACAUCCUGGGGCUGAAGUAGGUCCCAAGGGUAUGGCUGUUCGCCAUUUAAAGUGGUACGCGAGCUGGGUUUAGAACGUCGUGAGACAGUUCGGUCCCUAUCUGCCGUGGGCGCUGGAGAACUGAGGGGGGCUGCUCCUAGUACGAGAGGACCGGAGUGGACGCAUCACUGGUGUUCGGGUUGUCAUGCCAAUGGCACUGCCCGGUAGCUAAAUGCGGAAGAGAUAAGUGCUGAAAGCAUCUAAGCACGAAACUUGCCCCGAG
This 1295-nucleotide ribosomal RNA is filed under the name Salmonella enterica. RNAcentral's name for it is "partial 23S ribosomal RNA". It matches the Rfam family "Bacterial large subunit ribosomal RNA", at positions 1529 to 2803 of the family's 2925-position model. RNAcentral also lists the same sequence under 2 other names. Lineage: Bacteria; Pseudomonadati; Pseudomonadota; Gammaproteobacteria; Enterobacterales; Enterobacteriaceae. The record is from RNAcentral.